CCUACGGGAGGCUGCAGUGAGGAAUAUUGGUCAAUGGACGAGAGUCUGAACCAGCCAAGUAGCGUGAAGGAUGACUGCCCUAUGGGUUGUAAACUUCUUUUAUAUGGGAAUAAAAUGUUCCACGUUUGGGAUUUUGUAUGUACCAUCUGAAUAAGGAUCGGCUAACUCCGUGCCAGCCGCCGCGGUAAUACGGAGGAUCCGCGCGUUAUCCGGAUUUAUUGGGUUUAAAGGGAGCGUAGGUGGAUUGUUAAGUCAGUUGUGAAAGUUUGCGGCUCAACAGUAAAAUUGCAGUUGAAACUGGCAGUCUUGAGUACAGUAGAGGUGGGCGGAAUUCGUGGUGUAGCGGUGAAAUGCUUAGAUAUCACGAAGAACUCCGAUUGCGAAGGCAGCUCACUGGACUGCAACUGACACUGAGGCUCGAAAGUGUGGGUAUCAAACAGGAUUAGAUACCCCAGUAGUC
Molecule: ribosomal RNA, 460 nt
Filed under: uncultured bacterium
Lineage: Bacteria
Description: partial 16S ribosomal RNA
Rfam family: Bacterial small subunit ribosomal RNA
Source: RNAcentral